CAAAGUGCUGCGUCUCUUCGCUGCCUCGCGAACAAGCAAUUGGCUGCCUUUGUUCGCUGCCUCGCGAACAAGCAAACCGCUGCGUCUAUUCGCCGACUCACAAAAAAGCAAACCAUGGCAGCUCUUCCCUACCUCGCAAACAAGCAAACCACUGUAUUUGUUUGCUGCCUCGCAAACUAACUAACCACCUCGGCGUCUGUUCGCUGCCUCGCACACUAACUUACAACUGCGUCUGUUCGCUGCCUCGCAAAAUAAGGAACCGCUGUGUCUCUUCCCCUCCUCGCAAACAAGCGAACUGCUGUGGCUCUUUGCUUCCGCGUGCUAAAGCAAACCGCGGCGCCGCUACGCCACCUCGCGAACUAAUCAAAGACUGCAUCUCUUCGCUGCCUCGCAGACAAGCAAACCGUUGCUUCUCUUUGCCACCUCGUGCACUAAGUAACCACUGCGUCUGUUUGAUGCCUGGCACAAUAAGUAACUGCUGCAUCUCUUUGCUGCCUGGCGAAAAAACACACUGCUGCGUCUGUUCGCUGCCUCGCAAGCACAUUAACCGCUCCAUGUGUUCGCUGCCUUGCAAAAUAGCAAACAGCUGCGUCUCUUCACCUCCUCAAAAACAAGCAGACCGCUGCAUCUCUUCGCUGCCUCAUGAACAAUCAAACCGCUCUAUCUGUUCGCUGCCUCGCACAAAAGCAAACCACGGUGCCUCUUCGCUACCUCGCAAGCUAACUAACAGCUGCGUGUGCUCACUGCCCUGCAAACUAGCCAAGUGCUGCAUAUGUUCGCUUCUGCGCGAAAAAUCAGAUCACGAUGUUGCUAAGUCACCUUGCGGACAAGCAAAGUGCUGCAUCUCUUCGCUGCCUCAUGAACUAACUAACCGCUGCAUCUGUUCACUGCCUCGCAAACAAGCAGAUCGCUGCGUCUGUUUGCUGUCUUGCAAACUAGCAAAGUACUGCGUCUGUUCACUUCCAAGUGAAAAAGCAAACUGUGGGGCUGCUAUGCCACCUUGCAAACUAGAAAACCAAUGCGUCUGUUUGCUGCCUCGCAACCUAACUAAUCCCUGCGUCUGUUCGCGUCCGCUCCAAAAGCAAACCGCGAUGCUGCUACGCCACCUCGUGGACAAGCAAAGUGCUACAUCUCUUCGCUGCCUCGCGAACAAACUAACCGCUGCAUGUGUUCAAUUCCUCACAAAAUAGCAAACAGCAGCGUCUCUUCCCCUCCUUGACAACAAGGAGACCGCUGUGCCUGUUCAAUUCUGCACAAAAAAGCAAGCCGCAGCGCCUCCUCGGAACCUCGCAAACUAACCGCUGCAUCUAUUCUAUGCCUCUCAAGCAAGCAAUCCACUGCAUGUGUUUGCUGCCUCACGGACAAGCAAACCACAGCGUCUCUUUGCUGCUUCAAAAACGAGCAGACCGCUGCACCUGUUCGAUUCUGCGCAAACAAGCAAGCCAUAGUGCCUCUUCGCAACCUCACAAACUAACUAACCGCUGCGUCUAUUCGACAUUUCACUAACAAGCAAUCGACUGCGUCUGUUCGCUGCUUCGCGAACAAGCAAACUGCGGUGCCUCUUCACUGCCUCGCGAACAAGCAAACCGCUGCGUCUCUUGGAUGCCUCGCGAACAAGCAAACUGCUGUGUCUGUUCACUGCCUCACAAACAAGCAAACUGCUGCAUCUCUUUGCUUCUGCAUGAUAAAGAAAACUGCAGCGCCGCUAUGCCACCUCACAAACAAACAAACAGCUGCGUCUGUUCGAUGCCUGGCAAAGUAAGUAACUGCUGCAUCUCUUCCCACCUCGUGAACAAGCAGUCCGCUGCAUCUAUUAGAUGAGUUGCAAACAAGCAAUCCCCAGAAUCUAUUCACCAUUUCGUGAACAAGCAAACUGCAGCACCUCUUCACUGCCUCGCAAACGAAUUAACCGCUGCAUCUGUUCGCCGCCUCGCAAACAAGCAAACCUAUGGGUCUGUUCGCUGCCUUGCAAGCUAACUAACAGCUGCAUGUGUUCACUGCCUCGCAAAAUAGCAAACCGCUGCACCUCUUUGCUUCUGUGUGGUAAAGCAAAAUGCGGCGCCGCUACGUCACCUCGCAAACAAGCAAACCGCUGCAUCUCUUCACUGCGUCACAAACUAACCACUGCAUUUCUUCCCCUCCUCACAAACUAGCAAAGUGCUGCAUCUGUUCACUGCCUCGCAAACAAGC
This is a long non-coding RNA of Apteryx haastii (Great spotted kiwi), 2190 nucleotides long. The record is from Ensembl. NCBI's taxonomy places the organism in Eukaryota, Metazoa, Chordata, Aves, Apterygiformes, Apterygidae.